CAGGCCUAACACAUGCAAGUCGAACGGUGAUGUCAAGCUUGCUUGACGGAUCAGUGGCGAACGGGUGAGUAACACGUGAGCAACCUGCCCCUAACUCUGGGAUAACCCCGGGAAACCGGAGCUAAUACCGGAUAUGAGCUGAUACCGCAUGGUGGAGGUUGGAAAGUUUUUCGGUUAGGGAUGGGCGACGCGGCCUAUCAGCUUGUUGGUGGGGUAAUGGCCUACCAAGGCGACGACGGGGAGCCGGCCUGAGAGGGCGACCGGCCACACUGGGACUGAGACACGGCCCAGACGCUGACGGGAGGCAGCAGUGGGGAAGAUUGCACAAUGGGCGAAAGCCUGAUGCAGCGACGCCGCGUGAGGGAUGACGGCCUUCGGGUGGGAAACCGAUUGCAGGAGGGAAGAAGCGAAAGUGACGGGACUGACAGAAGAAGCACCGGCGAAUGACGUGCCAGCAGCCGCG
RNAcentral lists this ribosomal RNA (463 nucleotides) under uncultured bacterium. RNAcentral describes it as "bacterial SSU rRNA". It matches the Rfam family "Bacterial small subunit ribosomal RNA", at positions 43 to 519 of the family's 1533-position model. The record is from RNAcentral.